UACGGAGGGUGCGAGCGUUGUCCGGAAUCAUUGGGCGUAAAGGGCGCGUAGGCGGCUCGGCACGUCCGUUGUGAAAUCGCCCGGCUCAACUGGGCGGGGUCAGCGGAUACGGUCGAGCUUGAGCAAGCUAGGGGGCAAUGGAAUUCCCGGUGUAGUGGUGGAAUGCGUAGAUAUCGGGAGGAACACCAGUGGCGAAGGCGGUUGCCUGGGGCUUUGCUGACGCUGAUGCGCAAAAGCGUGGGGAGCGAUCCGG
RNAcentral lists this ribosomal RNA (253 nucleotides) under uncultured bacterium. RNAcentral describes it as "partial 16S ribosomal RNA". It matches the Rfam family "Bacterial small subunit ribosomal RNA", at positions 524 to 776 of the family's 1533-position model. The record is from RNAcentral.